RNAcentral lists this unclassified non-coding RNA (295 nucleotides) under Hevea brasiliensis (rubber tree). Lineage: Eukaryota; Viridiplantae; Streptophyta; Magnoliopsida; Malpighiales; Euphorbiaceae. The record is from RNAcentral.
UGUUCUUUUUAAAAUUUCCAUGACAUUUUCUAUAUCCCUCAUGCCUCCCCCUUGGAAUGAGUUUCCUUCAUGUCUUUUGUCAGAUUCUGGAUUGUCAGCGUAUGUAUUGUCAAUAAAGUAGUCAUCCAUUCCUAUUGCUCAAUUCCUUAAUCUUGAAAACCUGAGAGAAAUCCUUGAUGGAUAUUGCCAAGUUUUAAAGAAGGAAGAGAAAUCAAAGAUGAUCCAGUUCCAGCAGACAAUUGAAAGAUGCUGUCUUUAACUACCCCUCAUUUCAUUCAUAAAACCGUUGAUUUAC